This 63-nucleotide transfer RNA is filed under the name Gibbosula laosensis. RNAcentral describes it as "tRNA-Glu". Lineage: Eukaryota; Metazoa; Mollusca; Bivalvia; Unionida; Margaritiferidae. The record is from RNAcentral.
GCUAACUUGGUGUACAACGCACACUGGCUUUUCGCGCCAAUGGAACAUCUUAUGUACUUAGCC